GAGGGCAUAGCUCAAGUGGCAGAGUGCAUGCUUAGCAUGCAUGAGGUCCAGGGUUCAAUCCCCAGCUCCUCCU
Molecule: non-coding RNA, 73 nt
Organism: Camelus ferus (Wild Bactrian camel)
Lineage: Eukaryota; Metazoa; Chordata; Mammalia; Artiodactyla; Camelidae
Source: Rfam